RNAcentral lists this ribosomal RNA (256 nucleotides) under uncultured bacterium. Its description in RNAcentral is "partial 16S ribosomal RNA". It matches the Rfam family "Bacterial small subunit ribosomal RNA", at positions 524 to 776 of the family's 1533-position model. The record is from RNAcentral.
UACGGGGGGGAGCAAGCGUUGUUCGGAUUUACUGGGCGUAAAGGGCGCGUAGGCGGCCACCGCAAGUCGACUGUGAAAUCUCCGGGCUUAACCCGGAAAGGUCAGCCGAUACUGCGGGGCUAGAGUGCAGAAGGGGCAACUGGAAUUCUCGGUGUAGCGGUGAAAUGCGUAGAUAUCGAGAGGAACACCUGCGGCGAAGGCGGGUUGCUGGGCUGACACUGACGCUGAGGCGCGAAAGACUAGGGGAGCGAACGGG